GACGAACGCUGGCGGCGUGCUUAACACAUGCAAGUCGAACGGAAAGGCCCUGCUUUUGUGGGGUGCUCGAGUGGCGAACGGGUGAGUAACACGUGAGUAACCUGCCCUUGACUUUGGGAUAACUUCAGGAAACUGGGGCUAAUACCGGAUAGGAGCUCCUGCUGCAUGGUGGGGGUUGGAAAGUUUCGGCGGUUGGGGAUGGACUCGCGGCUUAUCCGCUUGUUGGUGAGGUAGUGGCUUACCAAGGCUUUGAGGGGUAGCCGGCCUGAGAGGGUGACCGGCCCAACGGGAAUUGAGAGGCGGUACAGACUCCUACGGGAGGCAGCAGGAGGGAAGCUUACGCACUGGGCGCAAGCCUGAGGGAGCAACGCCGCGUGAGUGAUGAACUUCUUCGGAUCGUAAAACUCUGUUAUUAGGGAAGAACAAAGGUGUAAGUAAAUAUGCACGGCGUGACGGUACAUAAUCAGAAAGCAACGGCUAACGACGUG
RNAcentral lists this ribosomal RNA (488 nucleotides) under uncultured bacterium. Its description in RNAcentral is "partial 16S ribosomal RNA". It matches the Rfam family "Bacterial small subunit ribosomal RNA", at positions 28 to 507 of the family's 1533-position model. The record is from RNAcentral.